AUACGGAGGGUGCAAGCGUUACUCGGAAUCACUGGGCGUAAAGGACGCGUAGGCGGGUUGGCAAGUCAGAUGUGAAAUCCUACAGCUUAACUGUAGAACUGCAUUUGAAACUGCUAACCUAGAGUAUGGGAGGGGGAGAUGGAAUUAGUGGUGUAGGGGUAAAAUCCGUAGAUAUCACUAGGAAUACCGAAAGCGAAGGCGAUCUCCUGGAACAUAACUGACGCUAAGGCGUGAAAGCGUGGGGAGCGAACAGGAUUAGAAACCCCAGUAGUCC
RNAcentral lists this ribosomal RNA (274 nucleotides) under uncultured bacterium. RNAcentral's name for it is "partial 16S ribosomal RNA". It matches the Rfam family "Bacterial small subunit ribosomal RNA", at positions 523 to 796 of the family's 1533-position model. The record is from RNAcentral.